CUUAAAUUAGAAAUGCAUGCACUUUAAAUUCAAUAGGAAUUCUCACUUUAGUGGUACAUGUGCAUGAAAGUAAAUACUCAUAAAUACUUAACGCUUAUUGAACGUAGGCAUUUGUUUAUUAGAAGAGAAGAAUGGUACUCUAGGUUACAUAAUAUUUAGGCAUGAAGAAAUAUGGAAUAUAAAUAUAAAAUGAGACACAUGACUGGGCAGUUAACGUAACUGGUUACACAUUAUAUAGGAAGGAUAGAAAAAU
This is a non-coding RNA of Pelobates cultripes (western spadefoot toad), 253 nucleotides long. The record is from the annotation of a GenBank genome assembly. Lineage: Eukaryota; Metazoa; Chordata; Amphibia; Anura; Pelobatidae.